AUGGCGCUCAACAAGGAGUACACUUACGCGGACUUGGAGAAGGAGCCAUACUGGCCAUUCGAGAAGCUGCGGAUCUCAAUCACUGGAGCUGGUGGGUUCAUAGCCUCCCACAUUGCAAAGCGCCUCAAGGGCGAGGGGCACUACAUCAUCGCCUCUGACUGGAAGAAGAACGAACACAUGGAAGAGGAUAUGUUCUGCCAUGAGUUUCACCUUGCUGAUCUGAGGGUCAUGGACAACUGCCUCAAGGUAACCACUGGGGUUGACCAUGUUUUCAACCUUGCAGCUGAUAUGGGAGGGAUGGGCUUCAUCCAGUCCAACCAUUCUGUCAUCAUGUACAACAACACUAUGAUCAGCUUUAACAUGCUUGAGGCUAGUAGAAUCAAUGGUGUCAAGAGGUUCUUUUAUGCCUCGAGUGCUUGCAUCUACCCUGAAUUUAAGCAGUUGGAAACUGUAGUUAGCUUGAAGGAGGCAGAUGCUUGGCCUGCAGAGCCUCAAGAUGCCUAUGGCUUGGAGAAACUUGCCACUGAGGAAUUGUGCAAGCACUACACAAAGGACUUUGACAUUGAGUGCCGGAUUGGUCGCUUUCACAAUAUAUAUGGUCCAUAUGGGACAUGGAAGGGUGGAAGGGAGAAGGCACCUGCUGCUUUCUGCAGAAAGGCUCUAACCUCCACUGACCGGUUUGAGAUGUGGGGAGAUGGUCUGCAGACUAGAUCCUUCACAUUUAUUGAUGAAUGUGUGGAGGGUGUCCUCAGGCUCACAAAGUCUGAUUUCUGCGAGCCUGUAAACAUCGGAAGUGACGAAAUGGUGAGCAUGAACGAGAUGGCUGAGAUAGUCCUGGGCUUCGAGAACAAGCAGCUGCCCAUCCACCACAUCCCUGGCCCCGAGGGUGUCCGUGGCCGUAACUCUGACAACACGCUCAUCAAGGAGAAGCUUGGCUGGGCUCCAACCAUGAGGCUGAAGGAUGGGCUCAGGAUCACGUAUUCUUGGAUCAAGGAGCAGCUGGAGAAGGAAAAGUCUGAAGGCACCGACAUGUCCGCAUACGGAACAUCCAAGGUCUGCACCACGCAGGCACCGGUCCAGCUUGGCUCCCUCCGCGCCGCAGAUGGCAAGGAGUGA
RNAcentral lists this ribosomal RNA (1116 nucleotides) under Triticum aestivum (bread wheat). RNAcentral's name for it is "partial small subunit ribosomal RNA". The record is from RNAcentral. Lineage: Eukaryota; Viridiplantae; Streptophyta; Magnoliopsida; Poales; Poaceae.